This 253-nucleotide ribosomal RNA is filed under the name uncultured bacterium. RNAcentral describes it as "partial 16S ribosomal RNA". It matches the Rfam family "Bacterial small subunit ribosomal RNA", at positions 524 to 776 of the family's 1533-position model. The record is from RNAcentral.
UACGGAGGGGGCUAGCGUUGUUCGGAAUUACUGGGCGUAAAGCGCACGUAGGCGGCUUUGUAAGUCAGAGGUGAAAGCCUGGAGCUUAACUCCAGAACUGCCUUUGAGACUGCAUCGCUUGAAUCCAGGAGAGGUGAGUGGAAUUCCGAGUGUAGAGGUGAGAUUCGUAGAUAUUCGGAAGAACACCAGUGGCGAAGGCGGCUCACUGGACUGGUAUUGACGCUGAGGUGCGAGAGCGUGGGGAGCAAACAGG